UGCAGGACCACAGCCGACCGAGUGCGGCC
This 29-nucleotide non-coding RNA is filed under the name Homo sapiens (human). The record is from RNAcentral. Lineage: Eukaryota; Metazoa; Chordata; Mammalia; Primates; Hominidae.